CUGCUCUUUUUUUUUCGAUAAAAGGCAAUUAAAAAUAUCUUUCUUGUAGAUUUUUAAACUUUCGGAAAAGCAAUCGUAGAAAAGUGCAAAAAGUUGAUUGUUCAGUUUGAGCUUUUCCAUUCAGGCUCUCCGAGCAUUUGACAAGCCGCGCGAGCUCCGCUGGUAACUCACUGUUUUUCUAAUAUCCAAUCGCGCACCGCUGCGCCAAUCUCUGUUCAUUUCGU
Non-coding RNA from Caenorhabditis elegans, 224 nucleotides. Lineage: Eukaryota; Metazoa; Nematoda; Chromadorea; Rhabditida; Rhabditidae. The record is from Ensembl.